AUGAACGCGUAGCGGCAGGCUUAAUACAUGCAAGUUGAGGGGCAGCAUGAUAUACGCGAGUAUAUUGAUGGCGACCGGCGGACGGGUGAGUAAUAGGUAGGAGACCUACCUCAUACAGGGGGAUAGCAUAGAGAAAUCUGUGGUAAUACCCCAUGAGGUUAUAUGAAUAGAGGCAUAUAAUCAAAGCAUAAGCGAUUAUGCGGUAUGAGAGGGGCCUACUGACCAUUAGCUAGUUGGUGAGGUAAGGGCUCACCAAGGCGAAGAUGGUUAGGGGUUUGAGAGAGAGACCCCCCACAUUGGAACUGAGAGACGGUCCAGACUCCUACGGGAGGCAGCAGUAGGGAAUAUUGGGCAAUGGGCGAAAGCCUGACCCAGCCAUGCCGCGUGAAGGAAGACGGCCUUAUGGGUUGUAAACUUCUUUACUACGCGAAUAGAGGUUAGUACGAGAUACUAAUAGGAAGGUAGUGUAGUAAAAAGCACCGGCUAACUCCGUG
This 494-nucleotide ribosomal RNA is filed under the name uncultured bacterium. Its description in RNAcentral is "bacterial SSU rRNA". It matches the Rfam family "Bacterial small subunit ribosomal RNA", at positions 37 to 507 of the family's 1533-position model. The record is from RNAcentral.